RNAcentral lists this ribosomal RNA (253 nucleotides) under uncultured bacterium. RNAcentral's name for it is "partial 16S ribosomal RNA". It matches the Rfam family "Bacterial small subunit ribosomal RNA", at positions 524 to 776 of the family's 1533-position model. The record is from RNAcentral.
UACGUAGGGGGCAAGCGUUGUCCGGAAUCAUUGGGCGUAAAGCGCGUGUAGGCGGCUCGGUAAGUCCGCUCUGAAAGUCCAGGGCUCAACCCUGGGAUGCGGGUGGAUACUGUCGGACUAGAGUCCGGAAGAGGCAAGUGGAAUUCCUGGUGUAGCGGUGAAAUGCGCAGAUAUCAGGAAGAACACCAAUGGCGAAGGCAGCUCUCUGGGACGGUACUGACGCUGAGACGCGAAAGCGUGGGGAGCGAACAGG